Molecule: ribosomal RNA, 374 nt
Filed under: uncultured organism
Description: partial 16S ribosomal RNA
Rfam family: Bacterial small subunit ribosomal RNA
Source: RNAcentral
GCAGGUGGGCAAGCGUUGUCCGGGAAUUAUUGGGCGUAAAGCGCGCGCAGGGCGGUCCUUUAAGUCUGAUGUGAAAGCCCACGGCUCAACCGUGGAGGGUCAUUGGAAACUGGGGGACUUGAGUACAGAAGAGGAAAGCGGAAUUCCAAGUGUAGCGGUGAAAUGCGUAGAGAUUUGGAGGAACACCAGUGGCGAAGGCGGCUUUCUGGUCUGUAACUGACGCUGAGGCGCGAAAGCGUGGGGAGCAAACAGGAUUAGAUACCCUGGUAGUCCACGCCGUAAACGAUGAGUGCUAAGUGUUAGGGGGUUUCCGCCCCUUAGUGCUGCAGCUAACGCAUUAAGCACUCCGCCUGGGGAGUACGGCCGCAAGGCUG